This 218-nucleotide long non-coding RNA is filed under the name Prunus persica (peach). Its description in RNAcentral is "long non-coding RNA (PPER_LNC003374)". Lineage: Eukaryota; Viridiplantae; Streptophyta; Magnoliopsida; Rosales; Rosaceae. The record is from RNAcentral.
ACAUCUUGAGCACAACUAAAGCAUAGGUAAGAGCAUGAGAGAUUACUGAACUUUGCAACAAGCAAGGAACACAUACAUGAGCAUAUUUUCAACAUAAUUUCAGCACCUUCAUAUCUGUUUAUUUGGCCUAAUUUUGUGGCUCUUUACCCUAGAUAACCAUGAUCUUCUCCUUUAUAACACCCUAGGGCAGUGACUACAUUGGUCACACUUCAUUACCU